Long non-coding RNA from Cyprinodon variegatus (sheepshead minnow), 901 nucleotides. RefSeq lists it as uncharacterized. The record is from RefSeq and is a predicted model, not a curated record. The transcript has 5 exons. NCBI's taxonomy places the organism in Eukaryota, Metazoa, Chordata, Actinopteri, Cyprinodontiformes, Cyprinodontidae.
CUUCUCACAGUGAUAUUUGGGGGCACAAAGAUAUACACCAACACAAAAACCUCAGAGCAAAACAUGGAUAUAUGCCUUAAUAAUUCAUAGAAAAAACACACAGAAUAAAUCCAUAUAUCGUUGAAUAAGAGGACUCAGUGAAGAUGUAGCACUGUGAGAUUUAGACUACUGGGGCAAUGGAACUAUUGUUACUGUCAUACCAGAUGGUCCAGAUGUGCCUCCAACUUUAUUCAUCCUGAGUCCCCUGCAGACUCCUGGCUACCCGCCAAAGUCAGCAGAUGAUCUGGGUCCAGAUGUCUGUCUGGUCACAGAUUUCCAUCCGAAGGGGGCAGAUGUGGUUCUAAAUUUGAAAGGUGGUCCAGUCAACGUGAGCGCCGAAGAUCCGAUUCUGUCAAAGAACAACACCUACUACUUUGUUGCUUUUAGCAAUCAAACCAUCCACUCCUGUGAGAUGAAUGGGACCUUCAGCAACAAUGAAGCAGACGAUGCAUGUGGAAACAUUUCUCCAAAAAAAGCCAAGCUGAACUUCUACCUGCUGCUGAUGAACGGAGUCCGACUGGUGUUCACCAAAGCUCUGGCCUUCAGCACUGUCCUCACCAUCAGGGGCCUGCUCUUCUGUAACUGAAACGUUAAAGCAGUCAGGAGAGCACAUCCAAUUAUCUGAGCAAAGCAGUUCAUUUAUAGAUCUAAUUAAUUAAUCUAAGGAAUUUUAUUAAAAAAUAACUAUUUUUCUAAAGAAACAUCUAUACAGAAAAUGAAUCAUUUGAAAUACCCUUAUAAGAAAAAGUAAAUCUUCAGAACUCUUUUUUUUAACCUAUAAAAUUAUUUCACAAAGAAUAAUAGAAAGAAAUUUUGCUAUUUUAAAAAAAGAUGUAAGUUUACCUAAACACAGACAUCUUUU